UGGGGAAUUUUGGACAAUGGGCGCAAGCCUGAUCCAGCCAUGCCGCGUGCGGGAAGAAGGCCUUCGGGUUGUAAACCGCUUUUGUCAGGGAAGAAAUCUUCUGAGUUAAUACCUCGGGAGGAUGACGGUACCUGAAGAAUAAGCACCGGCUAACUACGUGCCAGCAGCCGCGGUAAUACGUAGGGUGCAAGCGUUAAUCGGAAUUACUGGGCGUAAAGCGUGCGCAGGCGGUUUUGUAAGACAGAGGUGAAAUCCCCGGGCUCAACCUGGGAACUGCCUUUGUGACUGCAAGGCUUGAGUGCGGCAGAGGGGGAUGGAAUUCCGCGUGUAGCAGUGAAAUGCGUAGAUAUGCGGAGGAACACCGAUGGCGAAGGCAAUCCCCUGGGCCUGCACUGACGCUCAUGCACGAAAGCGUGGGGAGCAAACAGGAUUAGAUACCCUGGUAGUCCACGCCCUAAACGAUGUCAACUGGUUGUUGGGAAGGUUCCUUCUCAGUAACGUAGCUAACGCGUGAAGUUGACCGCCUGGGGAGUACGGCCGUAA
This 543-nucleotide ribosomal RNA is filed under the name uncultured bacterium. Its description in RNAcentral is "partial 16S ribosomal RNA". It matches the Rfam family "Bacterial small subunit ribosomal RNA", at positions 355 to 891 of the family's 1533-position model. The record is from RNAcentral.